Molecule: long non-coding RNA, 1068 nt
Organism: Centruroides sculpturatus (bark scorpion)
Lineage: Eukaryota; Metazoa; Arthropoda; Arachnida; Scorpiones; Buthidae
Exons: 3
Source: RefSeq, a predicted model, not a curated record
AGUAAAAUAUUUCAGAUCAAUUAACGUUUUGACAUAACUCAUGAAGUAUUUGUAAGGAACAUCGAACGUUCGAAAGUAACAAAUUGUUCGAAUAUAUUGUUCGAUUUUUCUAUUGUCGUCGUCAUCUUUAAAUAGAAAUAUUCAAUAAUAUUCUACAUUUUCGCUUUCUCUUUUGAUAUUAUUCGGAGAAUUUUGAUUAUAAGUAAACUUCGGUAAGCAAAUUAUAAAGAAAAUUUGGUUAACACUAGCCAUAUGUAAGUUUAAUAGAAAAAUAUGGAAGUUUUAGUAGAAAUGCUCAACCGAAUAUCCAUGAAAUUGCAUUCCAACAACAAGUACACAAGAAUUCUCGGCAAAUUAGAGCAGAAAUGUGGCUGCAACAGAUUUUUCAUCGUCAAAUUUUUAAUGAUUAUACUAGCUGUAUACACCGCAGUUGGUUAUGGAAAUGAAUUUGUCUGCACUUUCACAUCGAUCGUCUAUCCCAUUUACGCUUCAUAAGUUUUAAUUGUAGAGUACUGUAUUUACUUUUUCGAAUUUCGUAGUUUCUUACGUAACAGAAUAUUUAAAUGCAGAAUGAAUGCGAUUCAAAGAGGAACACCACGAGAUACAGAAAUUAUACUGACAUAUUGGGUGAUAUUUGCAUUAAUUUAUAUGUUUGAAAAUUUAUUUAAUGCCGUAAUGACUUCGAUUCCUUAUUAUUGGUUGAUGAAGAUAAACACCACUCUAAGUUCUUAUAUACAGAGUGGCCAUUAUUAGUUUCUAUAUUCAGAGCAGUCUGUAGCUGUAACUAAUAAGUGAAAUGACACAAAAAUUUGUAUACAGAUUAAACAAAGAUGUGGAAAAGGAUUUUAAAAAGUGUUCAAAAAUUUCAGCUCUGGGAUGUUUUGGCAUACGGUUUAUUAAAGAAACGUUGCAACAUUGGCAGACAAAGAAUUGUAUUACACUAUACGUCAAAAACAUCCCUGAAAAACAUUUACGAUCAGUUGUAGGACAUAUUGUUCAUCGCCUUCAAAUUUUAAACCUGAACAAUUGGACACACAUUGAAUAAUAUUACUGACAGCAGUAAAUAGC